This 270-nucleotide ribosomal RNA is filed under the name uncultured archaeon. Its description in RNAcentral is "partial 16S ribosomal RNA". It matches the Rfam family "Archaeal small subunit ribosomal RNA", at positions 477 to 747 of the family's 1478-position model. The record is from RNAcentral.
CUGCAGCCCGAGUGGUGGUCGAUUUUAUUGAGCCUAAAGCGUCCGUAGCCGGACUAGUAAACCCUUGGGUAAAUUGGGCAGCUUAACUGUCCAAAUUCCGAGGGGACUGCUAGUCUUGGGACCGGGAGAGGUCAGAGGUACUCAAGGGGUAGGGGCUAAAUCCUGUAAUCCUUUGGGGACCACCAGUGGCGAAGGCGUCUGACUAGAACGGAUCCGACGGUAAGGGACGAAACCCUGGGGCGCGAACCGGAUUAGAGACCCGAGUAGUCC